CCGACAGGCGUAGUCGAAUGGAUGAACGGGUCGAUAUUCCCGUACCGGCUGGCGACCGACAAAACCGAGCCCGUGAGCACUAACCUCCGGCAUUAUCCGACGCAUCCUUCGGGGUGUCGAGGAUGGUGUCGUUGGGACUGUAGCGGUAGUAGGUCAGCGCAGGAGUGACACGGAAGGGUGGCCGGCUCCGGAGGUGGUUUUCCGGGG
Molecule: ribosomal RNA, 207 nt
Filed under: Bifidobacterium callitrichidarum
Lineage: Bacteria; Bacillati; Actinomycetota; Actinomycetes; Bifidobacteriales; Bifidobacteriaceae
Description: partial 23S ribosomal RNA
Source: RNAcentral